RNAcentral lists this long non-coding RNA (277 nucleotides) under Manihot esculenta (cassava). RNAcentral's name for it is "long non-coding RNA (MESC_LNC009019)". The record is from RNAcentral. Lineage: Eukaryota; Viridiplantae; Streptophyta; Magnoliopsida; Malpighiales; Euphorbiaceae.
CUCUCUUUUGCUCUCAUCUCUGUUUUAUCUUUCCUUUUUUGCUCUCACCUCUGCUUUGAUUUUUUACUCUCUUGCUCUCUCCUCUGUUUUCAUUCUUGCUCACGCUUAUUCUCCCCUAUCGUCGGCUCUCAGCGAACACAGAAGAAGAAUACCGACAGUCACUAGCUCUGACGAGCACAGAAAAAUCCAGACAAUUGUUGGCUCUCAUCAGUUAGUGAACAUAGAAAACGAAUAUGGUCUAUAUUUUAUGGUCUCCAAAGUAGAGUUGUUGCUUGGG